RNAcentral lists this ribosomal RNA (445 nucleotides) under uncultured Flavobacteriales bacterium. Its description in RNAcentral is "bacterial SSU rRNA". It matches the Rfam family "Bacterial small subunit ribosomal RNA", at positions 354 to 796 of the family's 1533-position model. Lineage: Bacteria; Pseudomonadati; Bacteroidota; Flavobacteriia; Flavobacteriales. The record is from RNAcentral.
GUGAGGAAUAUUGCGCAAUGGAGGAAACUCUGACGCAGCCAUGCCGCGUGCAGGAAGACGGCCCUACGGGUUGUAAACUGCUUUUAUCAGGGAAGAAACCCCGGGACGUGUCCCGGGUUGACGGUACCUGAGGAAUAAGCACCGGCUAACUCCGUGCCAGCAGCCGCGGUAAUACGGAGGGUGCAAGCGUUAUCCGGAUUCAUUGGGUUUAAAGGGUGCGUAGGCGGGGUGGUAAGUCAGUGGUGAAAUCCUGCAGCUUAACUGUAGAAUUGCCAUUGAUACUGCCAUUCUUGAGUGCGCUUGAAGUGGGCGGAAUGUGCCGUGUAGCGGUGAAAUGCUUAGAUAUGGCACAGAACACCAAUUGCGAAGGCAGCUCACUAAGGCGAUACUGACGCUGAGGCACGAAAGCGUGGGGAUCGAACAGGAUUAGAAACCCUGGUAGUCC